GCUUUUAUUGGAAGCCCUGGCUUUCUGAGAGGAAAAGCGGAAGCAGGCAGGAGGCUGCUUCUGGCUUCUAAAAGCCGUGCGGCCACUGUAGCGAAUAAAUGAACUUUUCAAAAUACCAAUGGGUACCCUUAUGAAUUUGAUGUAAUUACACGACCCAACCUCCACCCCUACCAAUGAGACGCCCCUUCUCUAGUUCUCUUCCUCAACUCUCCGUCUUCUCCGUCAACUCUCUCUCUCUCUCUCUCUCUCUCGGUGCUCUUAAGACGUCGUUCCUCCAUCUUCGUUCUCCCCGGUGGUCACAUUGAGUUCGUUUUAUCUGGAAUACCCAGUUUCCAGUUUCUAGACUUCCACCCAGUUUACGCCUGCUCGUGGUCCAGAUCACUUUUUAUUUCAGGGUAUAUAAAUAUAGUGGAAUUGGGUCACGGGGAAUCACCAACAGCAUCAACAUGAUGACCAAGAUCAAGACCACUGUUCAUGGAUAGCAACGAUGGGAGUCCUCCUCACGGUGGAGAUCCUGCAAUGGAUGCAGGGGAUUGGAGGAACCAAUUGCAGGCGGAUUCGUGGAAAAGAAUUGUCAAUAAGAUGUUACUAUGCUGAAAUUUAAGUGAAUUGUCAAUAAGUGCUCAAGUGAAUUAUUGAAUGAUAUUGUUCAUGUUGCGGAGAUCAUUGUACCUCUGCUAUGAUCUUGAAAUAUAUCACUUUAGAGUAAGUUUCACAUAGCGUUAUAUGGAGUAUAGAUCACAUCAGCAAAGGAAGUUGAUUGAUGCUCAAGUUGUCUUACUUGUCAUGUGGUGAAAUGAAGCUAGAUGAUACUGAUUUUGCCAAUUUUGAGCUUUGUUUCCAAAGUGGGAAACCAAUGUUACUGGACUCGUGAUGAUCUUUUAUUUUAUAGUUUUUAGUUUUGAUCCUUGGUUUGAGCUUGAUGUAGAAGCACAAGUAUUCUGUGCUAGUUAUGUAUAGCAUCAAAUAAGAAAUGUUACAUUCC
This 985-nucleotide long non-coding RNA is filed under the name Rosa chinensis. RNAcentral's name for it is "sRNA RchiOBHm_Chr6g0292161". The record is from RNAcentral. Lineage: Eukaryota; Viridiplantae; Streptophyta; Magnoliopsida; Rosales; Rosaceae.